GACGAACGCUGGCGGCGUGCCUAGUACAUGCAAGUUGAGCGCUGAAGGUUGGUACUUGUACCAACUGGAUGAGCAGCGAACGGGUGAGUAACGCGUGGGGAAUCUGCCUUUGAGCAGGGGACAACAUUUGGAAACGAAUGCUAAUACCGCAUAAAAACUUUAAACACAAGUUUUAAGUUUGAAAGAUGCAAUUGCAUCACUCAAAGAUGAUCCCGCGUUGUAUUAGCUAGUUGGUGAGGUAAAGGCUCACCAAGGCGAUGAUACAUAGCCGACCUGAGAGGGUGAUCGGCCACAUUGGGACUGAGACACGGCCCAAACUCCUACGGGAGGCAGCAGUAGGGAAUCUUCGGCAAUGGACGAAAGUCUGACCGAGCAACGCCGCGUGAGUGAAGAAGGUUGUCGGAUCGUAAAACUCUGUUGGUAGAGAAGAACGUUGGUGAGAGUGGAAAGCUCACCAAGUGACGGUAACUACCCAGAAAGGGACGGCUAACUACGUG
RNAcentral lists this ribosomal RNA (497 nucleotides) under uncultured bacterium. RNAcentral's name for it is "partial 16S ribosomal RNA". It matches the Rfam family "Bacterial small subunit ribosomal RNA", at positions 28 to 507 of the family's 1533-position model. The record is from RNAcentral.